RNAcentral lists this ribosomal RNA (279 nucleotides) under uncultured Glomus. RNAcentral describes it as "partial 18S ribosomal RNA". It matches the Rfam family "Eukaryotic small subunit ribosomal RNA", at positions 548 to 832 of the family's 1831-position model. The record is from RNAcentral. Lineage: Eukaryota; Fungi; Glomeromycota; Glomeromycetes; Glomerales; Glomeraceae.
UUGGAGGGCAAGUCUGGUGCCAGCAGCCGCGGUAAUUCCAGCUCCAAUAGCGUAUAUUAAAGUUGUUGCAGUUAAAAAGCUCGUAGUUGAAUUUCGGGAUUAGUACGUCGGUCGUACCUUAGGUACGUACUGGUGUUACUGGUUCCUACCUUCUGACGAACCAUCAUGUCAUUAAUUUGGUGUGGUGGGGAAUCAGGACUGUUACUUUGAAAAAAUUAGAGUGUUUAAAGCAGUCUCGCGCUUGAAUACAUUAGCAUGGAAUAAUGAAAUAGGACGUUG